AAGUCGUAACAAGGUAUCUGUAGGUGAACCUGCAGAUGGAUCAUUUCGAUGAAAACCUUUUUUCUGAGGUGUGGCUCGCACCUGUCUAACUAAACUUGAGCUACCUUUUUCAACACGGUUGCAUCGGUAGAGUGGCGAACGCGCGUUCUUUGACGUGAGCUCGCCCUCUACACUUUACACAAACACUUUUGAUCUUCUAGGAUUUGAAUGACAAUUUAUGACUGGUAAUUCGGUCGUUUAAAUUUAAAAAACAACUUUUGGCAACGGAUCUCUUGGUUCUCC
RNAcentral lists this unclassified non-coding RNA (282 nucleotides) under Anthracocystis themedae-arguentis. Its description in RNAcentral is "partial internal transcribed spacer region". The stretch from base 1 to 46 matches the Rfam family "Eukaryotic small subunit ribosomal RNA", at positions 1786 to 1831 of the family's 1831-position model. Lineage: Eukaryota; Fungi; Basidiomycota; Ustilaginomycetes; Ustilaginales; Ustilaginaceae. The record is from RNAcentral.